This 445-nucleotide ribosomal RNA is filed under the name uncultured bacterium. RNAcentral describes it as "partial 16S ribosomal RNA". It matches the Rfam family "Bacterial small subunit ribosomal RNA", at positions 354 to 796 of the family's 1533-position model. The record is from RNAcentral.
GUGAGGAAUAUUGGACAAUGGGCGCAAGCCUGAUCCAGCCAUGCCGCGUGCAGGAAGACGCAUCUAUGGUGUGUAAACUGCUUUUGUACGGGAAGAAACACUCCCUCGUGAGGGAGCUUGACGGUACCGUAAGAAUAAGGAUCGGCUAACUCCGUGCCAGCAGCCGCGGUAAUACGGAGGAUCCAAGCGUUAUCCGGAAUCAUUGGGUUUAAAGGGUCCGUAGGCGGUUGAAUAAGUCAGUGGUGAAAGCCCAUCGCUCAACGAUGGAACGGCCAUUGAUACUGUUAGACUUGAAUUACAAGGAAGUAACUAGAAUAUGUAGUGUAGCGGUGAAAUGCUUAGAUAUUACAUGGAAUACCAAUUGCGAAGGCAGGUUACUACUUGUGGAUUGACGCUGAUGGACGAAAGCGUGGGGAGCGAACAGGAUUAGAUACCCGGGUAGUCC